Saccostrea cuccullata (small rock oyster) is the source of this 1671-nucleotide RNA transcript. It is a transcript of the gene named ATP-dependent DNA helicase Q1-like, with no coding region annotated. Lineage: Eukaryota; Metazoa; Mollusca; Bivalvia; Ostreida; Ostreidae. The transcript is spliced from 4 exons. The record is from RefSeq and is a predicted model, not a curated record.
CGUAAGCAGAGAGGAGAAAACCUUCUUAAAUUAUUCGCCGGAAGUGAUACCGCAUGUAUAGUUCCCCAACAUGGAGGAGAGUCUCGAAUUUGCUCGGAAUAAGUUGGGAAUUGAUUUUUCGCUAAAGGAAAAGCAGUUGGAAACUCUUAAAAAUUUAUGGGAGCGACGGGAUGUUAUAAGUGUGUUACCAACUGGUUAUGGUAAAAGUGUCCUGUACCAAUUACUCCCGUGGUUUUUACAAGGCGAAAGAGAAAGAGCUGGGAUCGUCAUUGUCAUUGCCCCCUUAACCUCGAUUAUUGUAGAUCAAGUUUCUUUCCUUUCCUCUAAGGGGGUAAAGGCCUUGUGCUUGAAUUUUGAAGGAACCGGGUGUCGUUCCGCGGAUGAUGAAGAAGAAACUGUCUCGAAGCUGGUCACAAAAGACAUGCAGCGUAUCACAGAUGGUGAUGUUGAGAUCCUUUACAGUCAUCCAGAAGCAAUUUUCUCUAAAAAGUUUGGUAGAAUUCUGCGCUCAAAAGUUUUUCAGGAGGGUGUCUGUUGUGUGACCAUUGAUGAGGUUCACAUGAUAGAGGAAUGGGGAGAAGAAUUCAGACCAAAGUUUAAGAAACUUGGAGACCUAACCUGUUUGUUUCCAUCUGCAGCACAUUUAUCACUGACAGCAACAGCGACUGAAACCUCAAUAGAAAGUCUUGGAAAAGUGCUACAGUAUAUAAAUCCAGUCAUUAUCAAAGCCAAUCCCGACAGGCCAAAUAUUUUCUUGGAAAAGAUUGUGCGACCUCCUAAUAUUAACAAAGUUAAAAAGUUGGACACAAUUAUUGAACCUCUGUGUGAAGAGCUUAAAGAGAAGAGGGAAAAUUUCCCUGUGACUAUAGUUUACGUGGAGAAUUUAGAAUCAUUGGGUUACUUUUAUCAGUAUGUGAAUUCAGAAUUAAGGGAGCAUCAGUAUGUAGGUGAACCAAAUCCAGAAAACCGUAUCUUUGCACAAUUCCAUAAAGAUUAUACAGAGGCCAUGAAAAGCCAUGUGAUAACGGAGUUAAAAAAAGGAAAACCCUAUACUACGUUUAGUAUUUGCAACAGUUGCACUCGGUAUGGGUUUGGAUGCCAGGUGCAUUACCAGGAUCAUCCAUUGCAGACCCCCUACAACACUUGAAAAAUAUCUUCAAGAAAUUGGAAGGGCUGGUAGAAGUGGAGCCCAGUGCACAGCAGUACUCUAUUUCAAUAAUAAUGACAUUGCCAAAAAUAGAAAGGGACUAAGUGAAGAAGUCAUACAGUAUUGUAAAAAUUCUGAAACUUGCCUCAGACUUUUUAUAUUAAAGUACUUUGGAUUUAACAAUUCAUUAUUCUGCGGACCACCAAAAGAUUGCUGCAGCAAUUGCAGGAGCAAAAGUUUGAUGUGAACUUAAAAGAGGCAAGGGGGUCCCUGCUAUGAAGGAUCAUGCCAUAAAUGGUGGCCAGUGUUGCUAUCUUUUUCUCUGAUGAAUCAACGGUCCCUAAACACAUGGAUAAAACCUCAAAGAGAAGGGGGCAGGUUGACUGCAUUUCAUUAAUGCAAGCCGCAAAGAUGUCGCAACCUUGUAGAAUAUCUGCUCCUUUUUUAAGAAGGACACUUUUCCUCCCAUAAAUCAAUUUUUCUAGUUGUUUGUUGAUUAUUGAAGUACAAUCACUGAAAAUAAA